This 256-nucleotide ribosomal RNA is filed under the name uncultured bacterium. RNAcentral's name for it is "partial 16S ribosomal RNA". It matches the Rfam family "Bacterial small subunit ribosomal RNA", at positions 521 to 776 of the family's 1533-position model. The record is from RNAcentral.
UAAUACGUAGGAUGCAAGCGUUGUUCGGAAUUACUGGGCGUAAAGAGUACGUAGGCGGUUAUAUAAGUCUGAUAUUAAAGACUGGGGCUCAACUUCAGGAAUGUAUUGGAAACUGUAUGGCUAGAGGUCAGUAGAGGAAGCUGGAAUUCUCAGUGUAGCGGUGAAAUGCGUAGAUAUUGGGAAGAACACCGGUGGCGAAAGCGAGCUUCUGGGCUGAAACUGACGCUGAGGUACGAAAGUGUGGGGAGCAAACGGG